CAAAAACAUAACACACAGGGAUAUAAUUUCUAAUUAGUGGGGUAAUAGCUGCUUGAUCCAAGGAGACAUCUGACUGCUAUUUUGGGGUCAAGAAGGAAUUUUUUCCUAGUUUGUGGCAAAAUAGGAAGUGCUCCAGACCAGGUUUUUUGCCUUCUUUUGGAUCAACAGUGUGACGAAGUGCCCUUCGCCACUUGUGCCUGGAGAGGACUGCUU
Molecule: non-coding RNA, 213 nt
Organism: Pelobates cultripes (western spadefoot toad)
Lineage: Eukaryota; Metazoa; Chordata; Amphibia; Anura; Pelobatidae
Source: the annotation of a GenBank genome assembly